This 496-nucleotide ribosomal RNA is filed under the name uncultured bacterium. RNAcentral's name for it is "partial 16S ribosomal RNA". It matches the Rfam family "Bacterial small subunit ribosomal RNA", at positions 28 to 506 of the family's 1533-position model. The record is from RNAcentral.
GAUGAACGCUGGCGGCGUGCCUAAUACAUGCAAGUCGAGCGAACAGAUGAGGAGCUUGCUCCUCUGACGUUAGCGGCGGACGGGUGAGUAACACGUGGAUAACCUACCUAUAAGACUGGGAUAACUUCGGGAAACCGGAGCUAAUACCGGAUAAUAUAUUGAACCGCAUGGUUCAAUAGUGAAAGACGGUUUUGCUGUCACUUAUAGAUGGAUCCGCGCCGCAUUAGCUAGUUGGUAAGGUAACGGCUUACCAAGGCAACGAUGCGUAGCCGACCUGAGAGGGGAAUCGCCCACAUGGAAACGGAGAAACGGCCAAAAUCCCUAGGGAAGGAGGCAGUAGGAAUCUUCCGGAAAGGGGGGAAAGCCUGAGGAAGAAAGGCGGGGUGGGUGAGGAGGUUCUUCGGACGGUAAAACUCGUUAAUAAGGAAAGAACAAAGGGGAAGGUAAUAAGGAACGCUUGAAGGUAACUAAACAAGAAAGCAAGGCUUAAUUAGGU